This 446-nucleotide ribosomal RNA is filed under the name uncultured bacterium. RNAcentral's name for it is "bacterial SSU rRNA". It matches the Rfam family "Bacterial small subunit ribosomal RNA", at positions 28 to 456 of the family's 1533-position model. The record is from RNAcentral.
GAUGAACGCUGGCGGCGUGCUUAACACAUGCAAGUCGAGCGAAGCAAUUUAAGUGAAGUUUUCGGAUGGAUCUUAGAUUGACUGAGCGGCGGACGGGUGAGUAACGCGUGGAUAACCUGCCUCACACAGGGGGAUAACAGUUAGAAAUGACUGCUAAUACCGCAUAAGCGCACAGUACCGCAUGGUAUAGUGUGAAAAACUCCGGUGGUGUGAGAUGGAUCCGCGUCUGAUUAGGUAGUUGGUGAGGUAACGGCCCACCAAGCCGACGAUCAGUAGCCGACCUGAGAGGGUGACCGGCCACAUUGGGACUGAGACACGGCCCAAACUCCUACGGGAGGCAGCAGUGGGGGAUAUUGCACAAUGGGCGAAAGCCUGAUGCAGCAACGCCGCGUGAGUGAAGAAGUAUCUCGGUAUGUAAAGCUCUAUCAGCAGGGAAGAAAAUGACG